UUUCAGAGAUUAAUGGACAGCCUGGU
RNAcentral lists this non-coding RNA (26 nucleotides) under Cricetulus griseus (Chinese hamster). The record is from RNAcentral. Lineage: Eukaryota; Metazoa; Chordata; Mammalia; Rodentia; Cricetidae.